RNAcentral lists this long non-coding RNA (660 nucleotides) under Ovis aries (sheep). RNAcentral describes it as "lncRNA (ENSOARG00000026804.1)". The record is from RNAcentral. Lineage: Eukaryota; Metazoa; Chordata; Mammalia; Artiodactyla; Bovidae.
ACAAACUCUCACAUUAAUACUAACGUAGGGGACAGUGGGCCUCCGGGCCAGACCACCGGGUCGUUAAGUGGAGUAAAACUGAGCCUUUGUUCUCAUCCAGACACUCCAAGGACAAAGCUAGUGGUAAAGCUGAGCUCUGCUAAAGCAAAGAGAUACGGUGCCCACUCCUGAGGUCACGGAAGACGUCCCUGUCUGCCCAUGCGCAAGAAGGCUUCCUGGGGGUCAAAAAGGAAGCGCAGGCAUGCACCCAUAAGCCUCUAUGGUGGGAUCUGUCUCAGCAAACAGUUGCGCAUGCAUCUUGGGGAGGAUCAUGGACCAGUCAGGUGUGAGAAGGAAACAAAGUAAUUGGCCAAAGUUAUGGUGCCGUGAUUCAGAUAAGAUCAAAUUCAUCACUGGACUCCCAGACCUCUUACUCAGGACCCUAAGGGAGCACCCUUAAAGACUUUAUCUUCGUCCCUGGCUGAAUGAUCCAUAUGGCAGUCCUUUGAAACAUCUUACAGCAGGUAUUUAUUUCUAGGAUUCUGAGUACACUCUCUGAAGCUGGUUUAGAGUCCCAGGAAAGCAGCCGUUUGUAAGAAGCUGAGUUGGAGACCCAAGCUUUUUGUUUGUUUUUGUUUGAAAGAUACCUGCUGGGCUGGAAAUCUUUCUUCAUCACCAUGU